GGUCUAGAAGUAGCAGUGUGCCGUCAUGGCAUUAUCCUUCGGGCCCUGAAUAUGUACAGGCAAGUAUAAAAACAUUCUUUGUAUUUUCACUACAGUUACAUUUAUUUCAAAUUCUCAUGAAGUGAUACUUAAUUACUGCAAUGCUGUUAUGCAAUCCCACCGGGGUGAGAUCUUUGCGUAUCCGAUGUUCCUGCAGAAGGAAAUCACAGCCAGUCCACCAGCCUUCUUCUGUAUGGAUGUAAUAUGCAAGUACUGGCCUUACAUCCAGAGAAUUGCUGAAGCCUGCCCAGAGUACAGACACCUCACCACCAUGAAGCCUCUGUUGUCUGUGCUCCAUGCAAAAGCACAUGGCAUCAAGUGUGAGGUAUUUUUUACUCAUCCCUUGUGUUUCGAUGCCAGUAAUUUUUCCAUGUCAAAUCCAAUCUCCCUUCUUACAGAGCCAAAACAACAAUGCAUGUUUCCCUGAACUCAGAUUAAUAGACUGCACUGUAUGUUCCUAAAAUGUCAGAUAAAAUGGGGAGGAGGCAAUCAGGAUGGAGCGGGUUGUACCCUGGGAGAGGAGGUGGAAAUGGUUAAUUCCUUCCUGUCCAGGACCGCCAUAAUCACAACGUUCAUGGGCAAAGGAGCACGCACAGACAUGCUAACUGUCCAGAUUAUGGACUGGAAUAAGAGAAAGAUGGAGAACAUGUGUAAAACCUUGUGCACAAUAUUUCGUAAGGUAACCGUCUUCUUUCAGAAAAGCGGCCAAAUUGCAGUAUGAGUGACAAAUGUCACUCUUAAAGUUUAAUUUCCCCCAUCCCUCCUAUUCCUACAGACACAGCAGAAUCUUGAGAGGGAGAGGCAGAGCCUAGAGACCCUCAAAGGAGAGAUGUCUGCAAAUGAUGGGACUGUGGAACAGUGGGUCAGAGAUGUCAAGGACUGGGCUGAACAUGAACCCCCUGCAGCCAGUAAUGAUUCUCUGCUACAAGUGAGAUCAAGAAUUGAGGAGACUUCUCUGGGCCUAAGGCAGCGUAGGGCACGGCUUUAUAGCCAAACAGGUACAAAGUUUGUGAAAGACAUCAAAUGGUUUAACAAUGUUUUUCACAUUUGUUUAUUAGGUUUCUUCAUGUAUCGGAUUGUGUCUUAUCUGAUGUCUCCCAGACAGCAACUCAGGAUGCUCUGUGAUCCGCAACCGCAUGUGGAGGGAACAGAAACCGCUUGAGAUUUAUGUGGCUCAGCAUGAUACAAUGGUCCAACCCCAAGAGCAAAUCGGCCCUGUCAGUAACACAGUACAAGCUGGCUACAUAUUUCCUUGGCAGUUACCCCCCAAUGGUAUGUUAUACAUUGCAUUUUUGAACCUUCUUAUUGGUAUCACCGAAUAGCCUCAACUUUUUAUGAAUGAGUUUAGAGAAGGGUCUGGAUGACAAAAGAGGUGAUGG
RNAcentral lists this long non-coding RNA (1418 nucleotides) under Sparus aurata (gilthead seabream). RNAcentral describes it as "lncRNA (ENSSAUG00010021267.1)". Lineage: Eukaryota; Metazoa; Chordata; Actinopteri; Spariformes; Sparidae. The record is from RNAcentral.